AUCCCUAGAUGCUAAAAAGCCUAUGAUUCCAUGUCUGCUCUGAACCUUCCUCUCCCAUUCUCCUUUCUUGGCUUAGGACAAAGGUCUGUGGGGGAGACAGAAGGAGUUUACCAGAGAAGAUCCCUGUUCUCCUGGAACUACUAAGGGAGCAGAUGGAGUAAAUGAGCCCCAGGAUCAGGGAGGCAGGCCUGAUGCUCCCUUCUGGUAGCAGAACAGAAUUAGAGGGAGAGGAGGAGAUGGUUUGCGGCUUGCUUUCUUCUGGCCCAGAGACAUCCCAGAAUUUGUGUGUGGCUGAGUAUGAAGGGUUUGAAGCAUUUGGGGGUGGUGGGGAGGGACAGGAGAGAAGAUGGGGGAUGGAGAGGAGAAGGACCUGGAAAUUCUAUACUUGCUUUUUCUUCAGGCAUCUUUUUUAUAACCUAAAAG
This 423-nucleotide long non-coding RNA is filed under the name Monodelphis domestica (gray short-tailed opossum). Its description in RNAcentral is "lncRNA (ENSMODG00000030108.2)". The record is from RNAcentral. Lineage: Eukaryota; Metazoa; Chordata; Mammalia; Didelphimorphia; Didelphidae.